GACGAACGCUGGCGGCGUGCUUAACACAUGCAAGUCGAACGGAAAGGCCCUGCUUUUGUGGGGUGCUCGAGUGGCGAACGGGUGAGUAACACGUGAGUAACCUGCCCUUGACUUUGGGAUAACUUCAGGAAACUGGGGCUAAUACCGGAUAGGAGCUCCUGCUGCAUGGUGGGGGUUGGAAGUUUCGGCGGUUGGGGAUGGACUCGCGGCUUAUCAGCUUGUUGGUGGGGUAGUGGCUUACCAAGGCUUUGACGGGUAGCCGGCCUGAGAGGGUGACCGGCCACAUUGGGACUGAGAUACGGCCCAGACUCCUACGGGAGGCAGCAGUGGGGAAUAUUGCACAAUGGGCGGAAGCCUGAUGCAGCAACGCCGCGUGCGGGAUGACGGCCUUCGGGUUGUAAACCGCUUCCGCCUGUGACGAAGCGUGAGUGACGGUAAUGGGUAAAGAAGCACCGGCUAACUACGUG
This 467-nucleotide ribosomal RNA is filed under the name uncultured bacterium. Its description in RNAcentral is "partial 16S ribosomal RNA". It matches the Rfam family "Bacterial small subunit ribosomal RNA", at positions 28 to 507 of the family's 1533-position model. The record is from RNAcentral.